CGAAAGCCAGACGCAGCGACGCCGCGUGGGCGAAGAAGGCCUUCGGGUUGUAAAGCCCUUUUCCAGGGGAAGAGGAAGGACGGUACCCUGGGAAUAAGUCCCGGCUAACUAUGUGCCAGCAGCCGCGGUAAGACAUAGGGGACGAGCGUUAUCCGGAUUUACUGGGCGUAAAGAGCGUUGAGGCGGUUCCGUAAGUUGGAUGUGAAAGCCCCGGGCUUAACUCGGGGAGGUCGUUCAAUACUGCGGGGCUAGAGGGCAGCAGAGGGAGGUGGAAUUCCCGGUGUAGUGGUGAAAUGCGUAGAUAUCGGGAGGAACACCCGUGGCGAAGGCGGCCUCCUGGGCUGACCCUGGCGCUGAAUGCGAAAGCUAGGGGAGCG
Molecule: ribosomal RNA, 377 nt
Filed under: uncultured bacterium
Lineage: Bacteria
Description: bacterial SSU rRNA
Rfam family: Bacterial small subunit ribosomal RNA
Source: RNAcentral